UAGGGAAUCUUCGGCAAUGGACGAAAGUCUGACCGAGCAACGCCGCGUGAGUGAAGAAGGCCUUCGGAUCGUAAAACUCUGUUGUUAGAGAAGAACAAGGACGUUAGUAACUGAACGUCCCCUGACGGUAUCUAACCAGAAAGCCACGGCUAACUACGUGCCAGCAGCCGCGGUAAUACGUAGGUGGCAAGCGUUGUCCGGAAUUAUUGGGCGUAAAGCGAGCGCAGGCGGUUUCUUAAGUCUGAUGUGAAAGCCCCCGGCUCAACCGGGGAGGUGCAUUUGAGACUGGGCGGCUUGAGUGCAGAAGAGGGGAGUGGAAUUCCGUGUGUAGCGGUGAAAUGCGUAGAUAUAUGGAGGAACACCAGUGGCGAAGGCGGCUCUCUGGUCUGUAACUGACGCUGAGGCUCGAAAGCGUGGGGAGCAAACAGG
RNAcentral lists this ribosomal RNA (429 nucleotides) under Gemmatimonadota bacterium. RNAcentral describes it as "Gemmatimonadetes bacterium partial 16S ribosomal RNA". It matches the Rfam family "Bacterial small subunit ribosomal RNA", at positions 355 to 776 of the family's 1533-position model. The record is from RNAcentral. Lineage: Bacteria; Pseudomonadati; Gemmatimonadota.